CAUACAUAUAACAACGUCUCGAUGUUAGUACAAUUAAAAGAGCAAUUGACAAGUGAGGACAACAGACAUGUAUAGCUGGAUGUGGGCAUGUCAUUUUCAAGCAGGAGUAACAUAAUUUGGUUCCUGAAUAUUGAUGGCCAGUACUGUGGCAACAUAGUAUAUUUAGAUGGAUUUAUACUUACAUAUAUAUAUAUAUAUAGCUGUGAUGUGGACACUCUUAUAAAAGGAGAAAGAAACUUGCAUUAGGAAUAGGGACCUAGACAUCAGGACUUGGAACAUCAUUUGAAUUGACUAUUUUUCAACCUUAUUGACUGUGCUUGGUUACAAAUAUAACUGUGUAUAGCCUGAAAGGUUAAAUGUUUGGAUCAUGUUGUUAACGUGUAUUUUCAUUGGUUAAUUUCUCAAUGGAUGUUGCUGUUUUGAUUA
Molecule: long non-coding RNA, 426 nt
Organism: Sorghum bicolor (sorghum)
Lineage: Eukaryota; Viridiplantae; Streptophyta; Magnoliopsida; Poales; Poaceae
Exons: 2
Source: RefSeq, a predicted model, not a curated record